This 1346-nucleotide ribosomal RNA is filed under the name uncultured bacterium. RNAcentral describes it as "bacterial SSU rRNA". It matches the Rfam family "Bacterial small subunit ribosomal RNA", at positions 28 to 1381 of the family's 1533-position model. The record is from RNAcentral.
GACGAACGCUGGCGGCGCGCUUAACACAUGCAAGUCGAACGGAAAGGCCCUGCUUUUGUGGGGUGCUCGAGUGGCGAACGGGUGAGUAACACGUGAGUAACCUGCCCUUGACUUUGGGAUAACUUCAGGAAACUGGGGCUAAUACCGGAUAGGAGCUCCUGCUGCAUGGUGGGGGUUGGAAAGUUUCGGCGGUUGGGGAUGGACUCGCGGCUUAUCAGCUUGUUGGUGGGGUAGUGGCUUACCAAGGCUUUGACGGGUAGCCGGCCUGAGAGGGUGACCGGCCACAUUGGGACUGAGAUACGGCCCAGACUCCUACGGGAGGCAGCAGUGGGGAAUAUUGCACAAUGGGCGGAAGCCUGAUGCAGCAACGCCGCGUGCGGGGUGACGGCCUUCGGGUUGUAAACCGCUUUCGCCUGUGACGAAGCGUGAGUGACGGUAAUGGGUAAAGAAGCACCGGCUAACUACGUGCCAGCAGCCGCGGUGAUACGUAGGGUGCGAGCGUUGUCCGGAUUUAUUGGGCGUAAAGGGCUCGUAGGUGGUUGAUCGCGUCGGAAGUGUAAUCUUGGGGCUUAACCCUGAGCGUGCUUUCGAUACGGGUUGACUUGAGGAAGGUAGGGGAGAAUGGAAUUCCUGGUGGAGCGGUGGAAUGCGCAGAUAUCAGGAGGAACACCAGUGGCGAAGGCGGUUCUCUGGGCCUUUCCUGACGCUGAGGAGCGAAAGCGUGGGGAGCGAACAGGCUUAGAUACCCUGGUAGUCCACGCUGUAAACGGUGGGUACUAGGUGUGGGGUCCAUUCCACGGGUUCCGUGCCGUAGCUAACGCUUUAAGUACCCCGCCUGGGGAGUACGGCCGCAAGGCUAAAACUCAAAGGAAUUGACGGGGCCCCGCACAAGCGGCGGAGCAUGCGGAUUAAUUCGAUGCAACGCGUAGAACCUUACCUGGGUUUGACAUGGAUCGGGAGCGCUCAGAGAUGGGUGUGCCUCUUUUGGGGUCGGUUCACAGGUGGUGCAUGGCUGUCGUCAGCUCGUGUCGUGAGAUGUUGGGUUAAGUCCCGCAACGAGCGCAACCCUUGUUCACUGUUGCCAGCACGUUAUGGUGGGGACUCAGUGGAGACCGCCGGGGUCAACUCGGAGGAAGGUGGGGAUGACGUCAAGUCAUCAUGCCCCUUAUGUCCAGGGCUUCACGCAUGCUACAAUGGCUGGUACAGAGAGUGGCGAGCCUGUGAGGGUGAGCGAAUCUCGGAAAGCCGGUCUCAGUUCGGAUUGGGGUCUGCAACUCGACCUCAUGAAGUCGGAGUCGCUAGUAAUCGCAGAUCAGCAACGCUGCGGUGAAUACGUUCCCGGGGCU